CAAUAGCGUAUAUUAAAGUUGUUGCAGUUAAAAAGCUCGUAGUUGGAUUUCUGGUGGGAGCGAUCGGUCUGGCGCUUAGCGCGAGUACUUGCAUCGUCUCCGGCCAUCCUUGGGGAGAGUCUGUCUGGCAUUAGGUUGUCGGGCAGAGGAUCCUCAUCGUUUACUGUGAAAAAAUUAGAGUGUUCAAAGCAGGCUUAUGCCGUUGAAUAUAUUAGCAUGGAAUAAUAAGAUAGGACUUUGGUACUAUUUUGUUGGUUUGCGCACCAAAGUAAUGAUUAAUAGGGACAGUUGGGGGUAUUCGUAUUCCGUCGUCAGAGGUGAAAUUCUUGGAUUUACGGAAGACGAACUACUGCGAAAGCAUUUACCAAGGAUGUUUUCAUUA
RNAcentral lists this ribosomal RNA (382 nucleotides) under uncultured eukaryote. RNAcentral's name for it is "partial 18S ribosomal RNA". It matches the Rfam family "Eukaryotic small subunit ribosomal RNA", at positions 592 to 975 of the family's 1831-position model. The record is from RNAcentral.